GGGUACACGAGCGGCGAACGGGUGAGUAACACGUGGGUGAUCUGCCUUGCACUUCGGGAUAAGCCUGGGAAACUGGGUCUAAUACCGGAUAUGACCACUGAUCGCAUGGUUGGUGGUGGAAAGAUUUAUCGGUGCGAGAUGGGCCCGCGGCCUAUCAGCUUGUUGGUGAGGUAACGGCUCACCAAGGCGACGACGGGUAGCCGACCUGAGAGGGUGACCGGCCACACUGGGACUGAGACACGGCCCAGACUCCUACGGGAGGCAGCAGUGGGGAAUAUUGCACAAUGGGCGAAAGCCUGAUGCAGCGACGCCGCGUGCGGGAUGACGGCCUUCGGGUUGUAAACCGCUUUUGACAGGGACGAAGCGCAAGUGACUGUACCUGUAGAAUAAGGACCGGCCAACUACGUGCCAGCAGCCGCGGUAAUACGUAGGGUCCGAGCGUUGUCCGGAAUUACUGGGCGUAAAGAGCUUGUAGGCGGUUCGUCGCGUCGUUUGUGAAAACUUGGGGCUCAACCUUAAGCUUGCAGGCGAUACGGGCGGACUAGAGUACUUCAGGGGAGACUGGAAUUCCUGGUGUAGCGGUGAAAUGCGCAGAUAUCAGGAGGAACACCGGUGGCGAAGGCGGGUCUCUGGGAAGUAACUGACGCUGAGAAGCGAAAGCAUGGGUAGCAAACAGGAUUAGAUACCCUGGUAGUCCAUGCCGUAAACGGUGGGUACUAGGUGUGGGGCUCCUUCCACGGACUCCGUGCCG
RNAcentral lists this ribosomal RNA (751 nucleotides) under Nocardia sp. Its description in RNAcentral is "bacterial SSU rRNA". It matches the Rfam family "Bacterial small subunit ribosomal RNA", at positions 85 to 848 of the family's 1533-position model. The record is from RNAcentral. Lineage: Bacteria; Bacillati; Actinomycetota; Actinomycetes; Mycobacteriales; Nocardiaceae.